CAAGGUUUAUGCAAAAUAUAGAUGUCUAUAUGCAAUUGUGAUCUUCCAUCCCCAAUGGCCAGCUUCAUGCCUCCUCUCGAUCAUUCCCUACGAUAGAAACAACUAUCGCUAAGCAUAUAGCUUAGUGGUGCAAAACUAUUGUUUCGGAGCCAUCCGAUUCACAAAGCAAACUUUCUCAAGUCAUGAGCAACAUAAUUGGACAUAAUUAAUAAAUCAAGUCAACAAUAUAUAAAGAGUAUCAAAUUCGAUAUUAAAGACCCAAAUGUCAAGAACGUUCAUAGCAUCAUUUUCCAAGAGAUUCAACAACAAGGCUCGCCCAACAUGUACAUCAUGUCCUCACACCAUGCACAAGCAAGUAUCAAGAAGGGUCGACGCCCUGUAUCAAGAAGGGUCAAAGCCCAAUAAUCAAGAGAACCAAGAACCAUAUUAAAAAAUGGUUUUCUAAUUCGUACUUAAAAAUGGACAACAUCCAUACUUAAGACGAACUAAAAAUCCAGAGUCAAGAUGGCAAAUGAUCCGAAUCAAGAGGCAUGCCAAGAGUGACAAAGUCACAGCCACAAGAAGGACAAGGUCCCAACAAGAGUGCCAGGUGAUCAAACAAUCCAUACAAGUGGGCGAGUUACACAAGCGUCUUUACCGUCUCAAAGGAUACCAACACAACAAUGCAAAGUGACAAGAGGUAACCAAGGUACCAAGAUCCAAUUUCAGAUAUACUAGAGGUUAAACGAGUACAAGUACGAGUUUAUACACAAACCUCCCUGCUUUAGCAAAGAAACAGUCCAACCAAUGUAUCAAGGUCCUCAACUUGUUCACGAGUACAAAGAACCUUUAAAAUACAAUUAAACAACUUCUUUAAUCCCUAGCAGCUCAAUAAUAUUGAUGUAAAAUAAUAUCAUCAUCACAAGUAAAAUUAUCCUGCACAAACACAACAAUGCUCCCAAAACAGUGAUUCUGGCCAGCCUAGUACCUCAUGUCACAACUUAGAUUUGAAACGGAAAACAGCAAAUCUAGACUUUAUAACCUUCAUGAAAUAUGUAGAUACAUAUCUUAGGGUUGCAAACAAACAAGAAUCACCGCAAAAUUUAUUUUGUACAACAAGAUAUAGUCAAAACACUAACAGCUGUUCAUACAGAAUUUGUACUUCCAAAAUCUGGACAGAACUUGUUCUAUAUUGCGUCCCAUAUUUCGAGUCUAUAACAUCUGAAUCAGAGUUCGACAUAAACAUAGGAGUUGUAGGUCUAUUAAUUAUCUUUCCAAAUCAUAUUUAUUCACUGUAAACUAAGUUCCAGAGCGAGAGAUAUGCAUAUAAUACUAAACACUACCCAGUUCAGAAACAGAUUUCGACACUUACCAACAAGAAGUGUGUGUUCUUGAAUUCCAGCCAAAAAGGGCCAAGUUUCUCUUGUGAUUUUUAAGAACACUCUGUUUAGAUAAGUUUCUAA
This 1442-nucleotide long non-coding RNA is filed under the name Solanum tuberosum (potato). RNAcentral describes it as "long non-coding RNA (STUB_LNC003596)". Lineage: Eukaryota; Viridiplantae; Streptophyta; Magnoliopsida; Solanales; Solanaceae. The record is from RNAcentral.